This 391-nucleotide ribosomal RNA is filed under the name uncultured bacterium. RNAcentral describes it as "bacterial SSU rRNA". It matches the Rfam family "Bacterial small subunit ribosomal RNA", at positions 28 to 417 of the family's 1533-position model. The record is from RNAcentral.
GACGAACGCUGGCGGCGUGCUUAACACAUGCAAGUCGAGCGGUAAGGCCCUUUCGGGGGUACACGAGCGGCGAACGGGUGAGUAACACGUGGGUGACCUGCCCUCAGCUCUGGGAUAAGCCUGGGAAACCGGGUCUAAUACUGGAUAUGACUCCAUGACGCAUGUUGUGGGGUGGAAAGCCUUGUGCGGCUGAGGAUGGGCCCGCGGCCUAUCAGCUUGUUGGUGGGGUGANGGCCUACCAAGGCGACGACGGGUAGCCGGCCUGAGAGGGCGACCGGCCACACUGGGACUGAGACACGGCCCAGACUCCGUACGGGAGGCAGCAGGUGGGGAAUCUUGCGCAAGUGGGCGAAAGCCUGACGCAGCGACGCCGCGUGAGGGAUGACGGCCU